Molecule: ribosomal RNA, 1213 nt
Filed under: Bacillus pumilus
Lineage: Bacteria; Bacillati; Bacillota; Bacilli; Caryophanales; Bacillaceae
Description: bacterial SSU rRNA
Rfam family: Bacterial small subunit ribosomal RNA
Source: RNAcentral
CCUCGGAGAGUUUGAUCCUGGCUCAGGACGAACGCUGGCGGCGUGCCUAAUACAUGCAAGUCGAGCGAACAGAAGGGAGCUUGCUCCCGGAUGUUAGCGGCGGACGGGUGAGUAACACGUGGGUAACCUGCCUGUAAGACUGGGAUAACUCCGGGAAACCGGAGCUAAUACCGGAUAGUUCCUUGAACCGCAUGGUUCAAGGAUGAAAGACGGUUUCGGCUGUCACUUACAGAUGGACCCGCGGCGCAUUAGCUAGUUGGUGGGGUAAUGGCUCACCAAGGCGACGAUGCGUAGCCGACCUGAGAGGGUGAUCGGCCACACUGGGACUGAGACACGGCCCAGACUCCUACGGGAGGCAGCAGUAGGGAAUCUUCCGCAAUGGACGAAAGUCUGACGGAGCAACGCCGCGUGAGUGAUGAAGGUUUUCGGAUCGUAAAGCUCUGUUGUUAGGGAAGAACAAGUGCGAGAGUAACUGCUCGCACCUUGACGGUACCUAACCAGAAAGCCACGGCUAACUACGUGCCAGCAGCCGCGGUAAUACGUAGGUGGCAAGCGUUGUCCGGAAUUAUUGGGCGUAAAGGGCUCGCAGGCGGUUUCUUAAGUCUGAUGUGAAAGCCCCCGGCUCAACCGGGGAGGGUCAUUGGAAACUGGGAAACUUGAGUGCAGAAGAGGAGAGUGGAAUUCCACGUGUAGCGGUGAAAUGCGUAGAGAUGUGGAGGAACACCAGUGGCGAAGGCGACUCUCUGGUCUGUAACUGACGCUGAGGAGCGAAAGCGUGGGGAGCGAACAGGAUUAGAUACCCUGGUAGUCCACGCCGUAAACGAUGAGUGCUAAGUGUUAGGGGGUUUCCGCCCCUUAGUGCUGCAGCUAACGCAUUAAGCACUCCGCCUGGGGAGUACGGUCGCAAGACUGAAACUCAAAGGAAUUGACGGGGGCCCGCACAAGCGGUGGAGCAUGUGGUUUAAUUCGAAGCAACGCGAAGAACCUUACCAGGUCUUGACAUCCUCUGACAACCCUAGAGAUAGGGCUUUCCCUUCGGGGACAGAGUGACAGGUGGUGCAUGGUUGUCGUCAGCUCGUGUCGUGAGAUGUUGGGUUAAGUCCCGCAACGAGCGCAACCCUUGAUCUUAGUUGCCAGCAUUUAGUUGGGCACUCUAAGGUGACUGCCGGUGACAAACCGGAGGAAGGUGGGGAUGACGUCAAAUCAUCAUGCC